GAGGGUAUAGCUCAGUGGUAGAGCAUUUGCUUAGCAUGCAUGAGGUCCUGGUUCAACCCCUAGCACCUCCA
Molecule: transfer RNA, 71 nt
Filed under: Camelus bactrianus (Bactrian camel)
Lineage: Eukaryota; Metazoa; Chordata; Mammalia; Artiodactyla; Camelidae
Also listed under: 3 other names
Rfam family: tRNA
About the family: Transfer RNA (tRNA) molecules are approximately 80 nucleotides in length. Their secondary structure includes four short double-helical elements and three loops (D, anti-codon, and T loops).
Source: Rfam by way of RNAcentral